GGGCCCGCACAAGCGGUGGAGCAUGUGGUUUAAUUCGAUGAUACGCGAGGAACCUUACCAGGGCUUAAAUGUAGUGGGACAGGUCUAGAGAUAGACCCUUCUUCGGACUCAUUACAAGGUGCUGCAUGGUUGUCGUCAGCUCGUGCCGUGAGGUGUCAGGUUAAGUCCUAUAACGAGCGCAACCCCUAUCGUUAGUUGCCAGCGAGUAAUGUCGGGAACUCUAACGAAACUGCCAGUGCAAGCUGUGAGGAAGGUGGGGAUGACGUCAAAUCAUCACGGCCCUUACGACCUGGGCCACACACGUGCUACAAUGGCGUAUACAGAGGGCAGCCAGCUUGUGAGAGUGAGCGAAUCCCAGAAAGUGCGUCGCAGUCCGGAUUGGAGUCUGCAACUCGACUGCGUGAAGCUGGAAUCGCUAGUAAUCG
RNAcentral lists this ribosomal RNA (425 nucleotides) under uncultured bacterium. RNAcentral describes it as "bacterial SSU rRNA". It matches the Rfam family "Bacterial small subunit ribosomal RNA", at positions 917 to 1344 of the family's 1533-position model. The record is from RNAcentral.